AAAGACCUAUAGGACUUUCCCCUACAUCAU
RNAcentral lists this transfer RNA (30 nucleotides) under Phrynocephalus erythrurus parva. Its description in RNAcentral is "partial tRNA-Ala". The record is from RNAcentral. Lineage: Eukaryota; Metazoa; Chordata; Lepidosauria; Squamata; Agamidae.